GGAGGCAUGGCUUAGGAGGUAGAGCACCUGCUUUGCAAGCAUGAAGGUCUGAGUUCAAACUCCAGUACCACCA
RNAcentral lists this transfer RNA (73 nucleotides) under Dipodomys ordii (Ord's kangaroo rat). It matches the Rfam family "tRNA". From Rfam's summary of the family: Transfer RNA (tRNA) molecules are approximately 80 nucleotides in length. Their secondary structure includes four short double-helical elements and three loops (D, anti-codon, and T loops). Lineage: Eukaryota; Metazoa; Chordata; Mammalia; Rodentia; Heteromyidae. The record is from Rfam by way of RNAcentral.